AUUGAACGCUGGCGGCAUGCCUUACACAUGCAAGUCGAACGGCAGCACGGGUGCUUGCACCUGGUGGCGAGUGGCGAACGGGUGAGUAAUACAUCGGAACGUACCUUAUCGUGGGGGAUAACGCAGCGAAAGCUGUGCUAAUACCGCAUAAGCCCUGAGGGGGAAAGCGGGGGAUCGAAAGACCUCGCGCGAUUAGAGCGGCCGAUGCCUGUUUAGCUUGUUGGUGGGGUAAAAGCCCACCAAGGCGACGAUCAGUCGCUGGUCUGGGAGGACGAUCAGCCACACGGGGACGGAGACACGGCCCAGACUCCUACGGGAGGCAGCAGUGGGGAAUUUUGGACAAUGGGGGCAACCCUGAUCCAGCAAUGCCGCGUGAGUGAAGAAGGCCUUCGGGUUGUAAAGCUCUUUUGUCAGGGAAGAAACACCGGCUCUAACACAGUCCGGGAAUGACGGUACCUGAAGAAUAAGCACCGGCUAACUACGUGCCAGCCGCCGCGGUAA
Molecule: ribosomal RNA, 501 nt
Filed under: uncultured bacterium
Lineage: Bacteria
Description: partial 16S ribosomal RNA
Rfam family: Bacterial small subunit ribosomal RNA
Source: RNAcentral